Molecule: ribosomal RNA, 256 nt
Filed under: uncultured bacterium
Lineage: Bacteria
Description: partial 16S ribosomal RNA
Rfam family: Bacterial small subunit ribosomal RNA
Source: RNAcentral
UACAGGGGUGCAAGCGUUGUUCGGAAUUACUGGGCGUAAAGGGCGCGUAGGCGGUUUAGUAAGUCAGAUGUGAAAGCCCGGGGCUCAACCUCGGAAUUGCAUUUGAAACUGCUAGGCUAGAGUGCAGUAGAGGAUGGCGGAAUACCGUAGUGGAAGAGGUGAAAUUCGUAGAUAUUAGGUGGAACACCGGUGGCGAAGGCGGCCAUCUGGGCUGUAACUGACGCUGAGGCGCGAAGAGCGGUGGGGAGCAAACAGG